This 448-nucleotide ribosomal RNA is filed under the name uncultured bacterium. Its description in RNAcentral is "bacterial SSU rRNA". It matches the Rfam family "Bacterial small subunit ribosomal RNA", at positions 330 to 795 of the family's 1533-position model. The record is from RNAcentral.
CCCAGACUCCUACGGGAGGCAGCAGUGGGGAAUAUUGCACAAUGGGGGAAACCCUGAUGCAGCGACGCCGCGUGAGUGAAGAAGUAAUUCGUCAUGUAAAGCUCUAUCAGCAGGGAAGAAAAUGACGGUACCUGAGUAAGAAGCCCCGGCUAACUACGUGCCAGCAGCCGCGGUAAUACGUAGGGGGCAAGCGUUAUCCGGAUUUACUGGGUGUAAAGGGAGCGUAGACGGCAGUGCAAGUCUGGAGUGAAAGGCGGGGGCUCAACCCCCGGACUGCUCUGGAAACUGUACGGCUGGAGUGCAGGAGAGGGAAGUGGAAUUCCUAGUGUAGCGGUGAAAUGCGUAGAUAUUAGGAGGAACACCAGUGGCGGAGGCGGCGUACUGGACUGUAACUGACGUUGAGGCUCGAAAGCGUGGGGAGCAAACAGGAUUAGAUACCCUAGUAGUC